Molecule: long non-coding RNA, 245 nt
Filed under: Elaeis guineensis (African oil palm)
Lineage: Eukaryota; Viridiplantae; Streptophyta; Magnoliopsida; Arecales; Arecaceae
Description: long non-coding RNA (EGUI_LNC059317)
Source: RNAcentral
AUGGCAUGUGGAAUUAAAGGAAAUGCGUGAAAUCAAGAGUCCAAUAUGAAAUGGACUCUUCCAUUUCAAUGCACAAAAGAAAAAGGGCAUCCCACUUAAUUUGGCAUGUGAGUUCCUUCCAAGAGAAGGACUACUCCUUCUCUUCCACACCCACAUAUCCCAAGGAACCAUCUGAUGGUGCAAAAAAUAUAGGGAUGUGUGGAAUCAUGUAAUGAAUUUAAGAAAAGUAUGAAAGGACUUCUCCU